Molecule: ribosomal RNA, 370 nt
Filed under: uncultured organism
Description: bacterial SSU rRNA
Rfam family: Bacterial small subunit ribosomal RNA
Source: RNAcentral
CGAAGGGGGCUAGCGUUGUUCGGAAUUACUGGGCGUAAAGCGCGCGCAGGCGGUCUUCCAAGUCAGUGGUGAAAGCCCGGAGCUCAACUCCGGAAAUGCCAUUGAAACUGUGAGACUGGAGUACGAGAGAGGUGAGUGGAAUUCCCAGUGUAGAGGUGAAAUUCGUAGAUAUUGGGAAGAACACCGGUGGCGAAGGCGGCUCACUGGCUCGUAACUGACGCUCAGGCGCGACAGCGUGGGGAUCAAACAGGAUUAGAUACCCUGGUAGUCCACGCCGUAAACGAUGAAUGCUAGCCGUUGGAUAGCUUGCUAUUCAGUGGCGCAGCUAACGCAUUAAGCAUUCCGCCUGGGGAGUACGGCCGCAAGGUUG